This 74-nucleotide transfer RNA is filed under the name Caudoviricetes sp. RNAcentral's name for it is "tRNA-Lys". It matches the Rfam family "tRNA". From Rfam's summary of the family: Transfer RNA (tRNA) molecules are approximately 80 nucleotides in length. The record is from RNAcentral. Lineage: Duplodnaviria; Heunggongvirae; Uroviricota; Caudoviricetes.
GCGCUUGUAGCUCAGAAUGGAAGAGCAAUGGAUUUUUAAUCCAUGGGCCGCGAGUUCAAAUCUCGCCGGGCGCA